RNAcentral lists this ribosomal RNA (747 nucleotides) under Pseudomonas aeruginosa. Its description in RNAcentral is "bacterial SSU rRNA". It matches the Rfam family "Bacterial small subunit ribosomal RNA", at positions 66 to 808 of the family's 1533-position model. Lineage: Bacteria; Pseudomonadati; Pseudomonadota; Gammaproteobacteria; Pseudomonadales; Pseudomonadaceae. The record is from RNAcentral.
GCGGAUGAAGGGAGCUUGCUCCUGGAUUCAGCGGCGGACGGGUGAGUAAUGCCUAGGAAUCUGCCUGGUAGUGGGGGAUAACGUCCGGAAACGGGCGCUAAUACCGCAUACGUCCUGAGGGAGAAAGUGGGGGAUCUUCGGACCUCACGCUAUCAGAUGAGCCUAGGUCGGAUUAGCUAGUUGGUGGGGUAAAGGCCUACCAAGGCGACGAUCCGUAACUGGUCUGAGAGGAUGAUCAGUCACACUGGAACUGAGACACGGUCCAGACUCCUACGGGAGGCAGCAGUGGGGAAUAUUGGACAAUGGGCGAAAGCCUGAUCCAGCCAUGCCGCGUGUGUGAAGAAGGUCUUCGGAUUGUAAAGCACUCGAAGUUGGGAGGAAGGGCAGUAAGUUAAUACCUUGCUGCGUUGACGUUACCAACAGAAUAAGCACCGGCUAACUGCGUGCCAGCAGCCGCGGUAAUACGAAGGGUGCAAGCGUUAAUCGGAAUUACUGGGCGUAAAGCGCGCGUAGGUGGUUCAGCAAGUUGGAUGUGAAAUCCCCGGGCUCAACCUGGGAACUGCAUCCAAAACUACUGAGCUAGAGUACGGUAGAGGGUGGUGGAAUUUCCUGUGUAGCGGUGAAAUGCGUAGAUAUAGGAAGGAACACCAGUGGCGAAGGCGACCACCUGGACUGAUACUGACACUGAGGUGCGAAAGCGUGGGGAGCAAACAGGAUUAGAUACCCUGGUAGUCCACGCCGUAAACG